Molecule: non-coding RNA, 103 nt
Filed under: Octadecabacter antarcticus
Lineage: Bacteria; Pseudomonadati; Pseudomonadota; Alphaproteobacteria; Rhodobacterales; Roseobacteraceae
Description: Glycine sequence
Rfam family: Glycine riboswitch aptamer
About the family: This family represents the bacterial glycine riboswitch. Glycine riboswitches usually consist of two metabolite-binding aptamers domains with similar structures in tandem. The aptamers cooperatively bind glycine to regulate the expression of downstream genes.
Source: RNAcentral
CAAUCUGGAGAGCGGUGUUAAGAAACGCCCACCGAAGGAGACGUCACGGUAACACCCCACACGGCGGGGAGGUGGCGAAACUCUCAGGUCCAAAGACAGAUGG